AGGAACUAUGUCAUCUUGCCUCAUGACAUCACUGAAGAUUAGGCCCUUCAAAAUUCUACUGAACCAUCAGGAGCUCUAGUGGAAGAGACUUCAGAUGAUUCUCUAUAGAAGGUGUCUUUACUAGUAAAGGCAAGGUCGAAAACGUACAUUUCUUGUGCUUGGAACAAAGGAGAAAGGAUGGAUUUAUCACUAAGUGAGAGAUGCACAUGAACCACAAGCGUGGAUCACACCCCUGUAUCUAUAACUGAUGGGUAAAAGCCUUGCUCUGAAAACACCUCAAGUUCUGACCUGCAUCUGAAUUUUGUGCC
This is a long non-coding RNA of Alligator sinensis (Chinese alligator), 308 nucleotides long. RefSeq lists it as uncharacterized. The record is from RefSeq and is a predicted model, not a curated record. NCBI's taxonomy places the organism in Eukaryota, Metazoa, Chordata, Crocodylia, Alligatoridae. The transcript has 3 exons.